Molecule: ribosomal RNA, 497 nt
Filed under: uncultured bacterium
Lineage: Bacteria
Description: partial 16S ribosomal RNA
Rfam family: Bacterial small subunit ribosomal RNA
Source: RNAcentral
GAUGAACGCUGGCGGCGUGCUUAAUACAUGCAAGUCGAGCGAACAGACGAUGAUUUUGCUCCUCUGACGUUAGCGGCGGACGGGUGAGUAACACGUGGAUAACCUACCUAUAAGACUUGGAUAACUUCGGGAAACCGGAGCUAAUACCGGAUAAUAUAUUUAACCUCAUGGUUCAAUAGUGAAAGACGUGUUUGCUGUCACUUCUAGAUGGAUCCUCGCUGCAUUAGCUAGUUGGUAAGGUAACGGCUUACCAAGGCAACCAUGCGUGGCCGACCUGAGAGGGUGAUCGGCGACACUGGAACUGAGACACGGUACAGGGUCCUACGGGAGGCACCAGUAGGGAAAGGUCGGCAAUGGGCGGAAGCCUGACGGAGCAACGCAGCGUGGGUGGAGAAGGUCUUCGGAGCGUAAAACUCUGUUAUGGGGGAAAAACAAAUGUGUAAGUAACUAAGCACGUCUUGACGGUACCUAAUCAAGAAGCAACGGCUAACUACGUG